CAACUCCCAAACCCAAUGUGAACGUUACAAACUGUUGCCUCGGCGGGGUCACGCCCCGGGUGCGUCGCAGCCCCGGAACCAGGCGCCCGCCGGAGGAACCAACCAAACUCUUUCUGUAGUCCCCUCGCGGACGUAUUUCUUACAGCUCUGAGCAAAAAUUCAAAAUGAAUCAAAACUUUCAACAACGGAUCUCUUGGUUCUGGCAUCGAUGAAGAACGCAGCGAAAUGCGAUAAGUAAUGUGAAUUGCAGAAUUCAGUGAAUCAUCGAAUCUUUGAACGCACAUUGCGCCCGCCAGUAUUCUGGCGGGCAUGCCUGUCCGAGCGUCAUUUCAACCCUCGAACCCCUCCGGGGGAUCGGCGUUGGGGAUCGGGACCCCUCACACGGGUGCCGGCCCCGAAAUACAGUGGCGGUCUCGCCGCAGCCUCUCCUGCGCAGUAGUUUGCACAACUCGCACCGGGAGCGCGGCGCGUCCACGUCCGUAAAACACCCAACUUUCUGAAAUGUUGACCUCGGAUCAGGUAGGAAUACCCGGUGA
RNAcentral lists this ribosomal RNA (536 nucleotides) under Trichoderma sp. LE-01. RNAcentral describes it as "eukaryotic LSU rRNA". The stretch from base 174 to 327 matches the Rfam family "5.8S ribosomal RNA". Lineage: Eukaryota; Fungi; Ascomycota; Sordariomycetes; Hypocreales; Hypocreaceae. RNAcentral also lists the same sequence under 2 other names. The record is from RNAcentral.